RNAcentral lists this ribosomal RNA (900 nucleotides) under Alteromonadales bacterium S-2-21. Its description in RNAcentral is "bacterial SSU rRNA". It matches the Rfam family "Bacterial small subunit ribosomal RNA", at positions 45 to 938 of the family's 1533-position model. Lineage: Bacteria; Pseudomonadati; Pseudomonadota; Gammaproteobacteria; Alteromonadales. The record is from RNAcentral.
GGCUUACACAUGCAGUCGAGCGGUAACAUUUCUAGCUUGCUAGAAGAUGACGAGCGGCGGACGGGUGAGUAAUGCUUGGGAAUAUGCCUUUUGGUGGGGGACAACAGUUGGAAACGACUGCUAAUACCGCAUAAUGUCUACGGACCAAAGUGGGGGACCUUCGGGCCUCACGCCAUUAGAUUAGCCCAAGUGAGAUUAGCUAGUAGGUGAGGUAAAGGCUCACCUAGGCGACGAUCUCUAGCUGGUUUGAGAGGAUGAUCAGCCACACUGGGACUGAGACACGGCCCAGACUCCUACGGGAGGCAGCAGUGGGGAAUAUUGCACAAUGGGCGAAAGCCUGAUGCAGCCAUGCCGCGUGUGUGAAGAAGGCCUUCGGGUUGUAAAGCACUUUCAGUUGUGAGGAAAGGUGUGUAGUUAAUAGCUGCAUACUGUGACGUUAGCAACAGAAGAAGCACCGGCUAACUCCGUGCCAGCAGCCGCGGUAAUACGGAGGGUGCGAGCGUUAAUCGGAAUUACUGGGCGUAAAGCGUGCGUAGGCGGUUUGUUAAGCGAGAUGUGAAAGCCCAGGGCUCAACCUUGGAACUGCAUUUCGAACUGGCAGGCUAGAGUACUGUAGAGGGUGGUGGAAUUUCCAGUGUAGCGGUGAAAUGCGUACAGAUUGGAAGGAACAUCAGUGGCGAAGGCGGCCACCUGGACAGAUACUGACGCUGAGGCACGAAAGCGUGGGGAGCAAACAGGAUUAGAUACCCUGGUAGUCCACGCCGUAAACGAUGUCAACUAGCUGUCUGUAGACUUGAUCUGUGGGUAGCGUAGCUAACGCGCUAAGUUGACCGCCUGGGGAGUACGGCCGCAAGGUUAAGACUCAAAUGAAUUGACGGGGGCCCGCACAAGCGGUGGAGC